RNAcentral lists this ribosomal RNA (251 nucleotides) under uncultured bacterium. Its description in RNAcentral is "partial 16S ribosomal RNA". It matches the Rfam family "Bacterial small subunit ribosomal RNA", at positions 524 to 769 of the family's 1533-position model. The record is from RNAcentral.
UACGGAGGGUGCAAGCAUUGAUCGGAAUUACUGGGCGUAAAGGGCGCGUAGGCGGUCUUAAAAGUCGGAUGUGAAAUUCCGGGGGCUCAACCCCGGAGCUGCAUUUGUAAACUACUAAGACUAGAGUGCAUUUAGUAGAAAACGGAAUUCCACGUGUAGCGGUGAAAUGCGUAGAUAUGUGGAAGAACACCGGUGGUGAAGACGGUUUUCCGGGUAUGACACUGACGCUGAGGCGCGAAAGCUAGGGGAGC